CUCUCAAGCAGCCUAAUAUUCACACUGGUUAGUAAGUUGUUGGCAGAUUAUUAAUUUAUUUUAAAUUUAGGACAAAAUCAGGUUUGCCAGAUAAUUGAUUAAGCACUCGCUUUUUCGUUUAGUACAUCAGUUACCCAUUCCGUGAGUUUUUUUCCUUCUUUUUGCGCUGACUUAACCCAUUGCGCUUUUAUUUUAGGGUUCACGCGACAAAUUAAUUUACUGGUUGCUUUGUCAUCUUCGUUUUUAAGUGCGUUUUGAUUGCCUAUGUUUGCAUGUUUCAUAAUCCAAUUACUCCAAAAAUAACAAUGGCUAGUACAGUGCCGAUCGCGCCAUAAGUGACGAUCUCUUUUAAUGCUUUUCGUGAUUUGUCUUUCAUCGAUGUAUCUCCGCAUCUGGUAAAGAGGGCGUAAGCCCC
RNAcentral lists this unclassified non-coding RNA (415 nucleotides) under Moritella viscosa. Its description in RNAcentral is "putative sRNA". Lineage: Bacteria; Pseudomonadati; Pseudomonadota; Gammaproteobacteria; Alteromonadales; Moritellaceae. The record is from RNAcentral.